Molecule: long non-coding RNA, 2205 nt
Organism: Brassica napus (rape)
Lineage: Eukaryota; Viridiplantae; Streptophyta; Magnoliopsida; Brassicales; Brassicaceae
Exons: 2
Source: RefSeq, a predicted model, not a curated record
ACAGUCGAUGAGCACGGGAACGGGCUGAUACUUCACACUACGGGCCAAAAACCCCACGCCGGUGUCCGUUUGGAAAUGGCCAAAGAGACGGGAGUUCUCCCGUCUCUUAUGGAACUUUACGAGAGGACCCACAAGAACAAGGCGGGCCGAUUUAUAGAUUGCAAGUCCGAGCAAAUCUACAACGAUUUGGCUGCUCAGGUUGAAGAACGCCAGAUCCAGCUGACCCAGUAGUCCACCGAUGGAUUACCCAUCACCUUAUCCACACCUGAAGUGGAUAAGAUUUACGAGGAGGUAAAUUUUCUAAAAUUUUAAUUUUUUUUAUUAUUCAUUUAAUUUAACUUUAAAUUUUUACUAACAAAAUUUAUUUUUUAUUUUUAAGGUUGUCCCAAAAAAAAGAGACGGACGUUGGGGAUUGGCUCCGUCAACGAUGUUCCGAGAGCGACAUCGUCUUAUGGUCAGCGACGGGAUGAUGAAGUCUCUCAGCUGCGUAGGGAGUCCGAUGUGCUGCGUCAUGAGUUGAGCUCGACGCGAUCUCGUAUGAGUGGACUCGAGGGCUUGUUGGAUGUUGUAGCGGCCACAAAUCCGGAAUGGGAGACCUUGUUGAGGACCAUGCGACAACGAAAUCCUAUUCCAGACGAGUCAACAUCCGACACACAUGCCGAGUCGGAUGUAACGGCGAGGAGUGAUGAAUUCUACCGGGCGAUGAACGACUCUUAGUUCUUUUUAAUUUCGGUUCUUGUAUUAUGAAUUCAAAACUUAUUUAUAUAUAAAAUAUUUUGGUUUUGAUUUUUUUAGAAUUUUAAUUUUAUUAAUAAUUUAAAUAAUCUAAAUUAUUUUUUUAAUUAUAAUUUUUUUAUAUUUCUGUAAAAUAACGAAACGAAGUAAAUUCGUAGCUAAUUUUGCGACUUCUGUACGUGGAAGCUUAACGAAGUUUUUACGAGGAAAAGUUUACAAGGAAAUGACGUGGAAAGUUCACAUGGUCUUUACGAGAAAACCUAUCAAGGUAUUUACGUUUACUUUACGAGUAUUUACUUUCGAGUUAUUUACGUGGGUUUUACGAGGAACGCGUUUCGAGGUAUUUACGAGGAAGUUUAGCGACGUCCUUACGUGGAAUCUUUAUGUGGUCUUUACGACGAAGUGCUUUUCUUUGUUUUUACGACGAAAUUAUUUCCUCGCUAUGUUACGACGAAUUAGCGAGGAAAUAUGCUUUACGACAAACGUUUAACGACGAAACGGGUUUUCUCGGUAAUUCCUCGUAAAUUUGCUUUUACGACGAAUUCACGAGGAAACACGCCCUCGUAAAUCUUUUGUUUUCUUGUAAUGGUCAUAGACUACCAUAUUGAUCAUUUUUUAAUGUCCGAAGAGACAUGGUCUACCAUUUUAACUUUUUUUUUAAGGUCCGAGGAGACUUAGUCUACCAUUUUUGACCUUUUUAUUCACGGAAGCAAAGCCUACCACGUAUUUUUCUGAUCGUGAAGGCAUAGCCUACCAUAACGAUCAGUCGGGAAAGACAGCGCCUCUCAUCCCGAACGGAGAAGGUCCAGCCUCUCACUCCGAAACAAUGAUAAAAUUUAAAUAAAUUAAGUGUAUUGAAAUACAUAAAUUUAAACAUUACCUCGGCUGGUUUAAGAACUUUCGGAUUGAUAAACUUCAGUUGGUCAGAGCCUCGUGCUGAUAACUUGUUGUAAAUCAGUUGAAAAUAUGUGGCUUAUAUUAAAAGUAGAGUGGACAGCGAUGGAGAGAGAGGGAUGUAAUAUGAGUUUAUUGUGUUUUGGGUUUUUGUGUUUCUAAAAGGAAACAACGAGAAAGAGGAAAUUUUGUAAGAGAGAGAGAGUAGCUUUUUCACUUCAGAUGUUCAAUUAAUAAACAAGAGGAUACGUACAUAUUUAUAGUGAUAGAGAAAUAUGAUAGAGAAAUAUUAAAAUAUAACAUCAGUCGGUCAUAAAUAUCAGUCAAAGACCAACUUUGACUAAUAAGACAAAAGAAGAAGAUAUACUUUAUCUUCUAAAAAAAAUUCAAACAGCGAGCCCUCAGCAAAGCAAUCGCAAUCUCGAUCUCGGAGAAGGGAUAAGAAUUGGCGGCCAAAACCUUAAUAAGGUCUGAAGCUUCCCUGAUGAAUAAGUUUCUGACGAAGCCGUCAACGAAUAUUUUAUAGAACUCGGAAUCAGAAUAUAAAGAACGCUUUUCUUUAUUGCUUUAGAAAAA